UGGGAACCUUCCUAGGGGUACGGAACAACUCAGGGAAACUUGAGCUAAUACCGUAUACGUCCGUGAGGAGAAAGUUUUAACGCCCCUAGACGGGCCCGCGUAGGAUUAGGUAGUUGGUGAGAUAACGGCUCACCAAGCCUACGAUCCUUAGCUGAUCUGAGAGGAUGAUCAGCCACACUGGGACUGAGACACGGCCCAGACUCCUACGGGAGGCAG
RNAcentral lists this ribosomal RNA (216 nucleotides) under uncultured bacterium. RNAcentral describes it as "partial 16S ribosomal RNA". It matches the Rfam family "Bacterial small subunit ribosomal RNA", at positions 118 to 351 of the family's 1533-position model. The record is from RNAcentral.